CCCUUAGAUGUUCUGGGCCGCACGCGCGCUACACUGACGAAUGCAACGAGCUUAUAACCUUGGCCGAAAGGUCUGGGUAAUCUCCAAAUUUCGUCGUGAUGGGGAUAGAUUAUUGCAAUUAUUAAUCUUCAACGAGGAAUGCCUAGUAAGCGCAAGUCAUCAGCUUGCGUUGAUUACGUCCCUGCCCUUUGUACACACCGCCCGUCGCUCCUACCGAUUGGACAACCCGGUGAAAUCCUCGGACUGCGGCUCUGCCACAGGCUUGCCUUGGCGCUGCCGCGGAAAGUUGAUUAAACCUUGCUGUCUAGAGGAAGGAGAAGUCGUAACA
This 328-nucleotide ribosomal RNA is filed under the name uncultured eukaryote. Its description in RNAcentral is "partial 18S ribosomal RNA". It matches the Rfam family "Eukaryotic small subunit ribosomal RNA", at positions 1470 to 1796 of the family's 1831-position model. The record is from RNAcentral.